UGCCUUGGAAACUGCCUUGACAAACAGGGAAGAGCCACCCAGCCGAGAAAUGUGACCCCAAUAGCCCCUGAUCUUCGAGGGUGGUGCUGGGGUGGAUCAUGGACCACAUAAUUGGGUGUUCUCGGUUCGGAGCAUGAGAGCUGGCGACGGAUUGCAAGAUAGACGGCUAACAAGUUCAUGUGUGUCUUACAGGUGACACACGUGUUUUGCAAAUGAGGAAGUAAAAAAGAAAUAUGGUUUACU
Molecule: long non-coding RNA, 243 nt
Organism: Haliotis rubra (blacklip abalone)
Lineage: Eukaryota; Metazoa; Mollusca; Gastropoda; Lepetellida; Haliotidae
Exons: 3
Source: RefSeq, a predicted model, not a curated record